Molecule: ribosomal RNA, 494 nt
Filed under: uncultured bacterium
Lineage: Bacteria
Description: partial 16S ribosomal RNA
Rfam family: Bacterial small subunit ribosomal RNA
Source: RNAcentral
GACGAACGCUGGCGGCGUGCUUAACACAUGCAAGUCGAACGGUGAAGCGCCUUCCUUUUUGGUGGGUGUGGAUGAGUGGCGAACGGGUGAGUAACACGUGAGUAACCUGCCCCCUUCUUCUGGAUAACCGCAUGAAAGUGUGGCUAAUACGGGAUAUUCUGGGUCUGUCGCAUGAUGGGUCUGGGAAAGAUAUUGUUUCGGUGGGGGAUGGGCUCGCGGCCUAUCAGCUUGUUGGUGGGGUGAUGGCCUACCGAGGCGGUGACGGGUAGCCGGCCUGAGAGGGUGGACGGUCACACUGGGACUGAGACACGGCCCAGACUCCUACGAGAGGCAGCAGUGGGGAAUAUGGCACAAUGGGCGCAAGCCUGAUGCAGCGACGCCGCGUGAGGGAUGGAGGCCUGCGGGUUGUGAACCUCUUUCGCCAGUGAAGCAGGCCUGCCUCGUUUGUGGGUGGGUUGACGGUAGCUGGAUAAGAAGCGCCGGCUAACUACGUG